CAAAAUUUGUCUCAAAAAUGAGAAAAAAAUAAAAGUAUUACUUGAAAAUACACAUACACUUCUUUGCUAGAAUCUCAUCAAAGUUAUCUGGAGCGCGUUUUGUCUACUCAAAGAUCGAGCAGUGACGCUCGAAUCAAAUCACUUAGAAAACCAAAUCAAAUGGGGAUUAAAAACCAAAAAGUUCAAAAAAUUUUACCAAAAAAACCAACAACCGGGAAAUAACAAAUAUACCG
RNAcentral lists this long non-coding RNA (233 nucleotides) under Mytilus galloprovincialis (Mediterranean mussel). The record is from RNAcentral. Lineage: Eukaryota; Metazoa; Mollusca; Bivalvia; Mytilida; Mytilidae.